UACAGAGGGUGCGAGCGUUAAUCGGAAUUACUGGGCGUAAAGGGCUCGUAGGCGGCCAACUAAGUCAGACGUGAAAUCCCCAGGCUCAACCUGGGAACUGCGUCUGAUACUGGAUGGCUUGAGUUCGGGAGAGGGAUGCAGAAUUCCAGGUGUAGCGGUGAAAUGCGUAGAUAUCUGGAGGAAUACCGGUGGCGAAGGCGGGUCUCUGGGCCGAUAUCGACGCUGAGGAGCGAAAGCGUGGGGAGCGAACAGG
RNAcentral lists this ribosomal RNA (253 nucleotides) under uncultured bacterium. Its description in RNAcentral is "partial 16S ribosomal RNA". It matches the Rfam family "Bacterial small subunit ribosomal RNA", at positions 524 to 776 of the family's 1533-position model. The record is from RNAcentral.